GAAAGCACCUUGCAAUAUAGAAGAAUAUUAACAAUAACAACCAAAAGAAAAAAGAAUAUUUACUGUAUGGACCCUUCACGUAAGAAAGAAAAAAAUGUAUGUGUGAGUAUGUGCAUCUGCUUACUUGUGGAAAAAGUAUAAGAACAGGAAAGAUAAAACACAACUAAGGAGAACGUUUUCUUCUAAGGAAUGGGUAGAAACCAGUUGUAAAGAAUGUGAGACAAGGAACUAAGUAGUAGAAAUGGAAGGAGAGAAGGCUCUAUCUACUGAGAGGGCCGAAAGGCAAUGACUUCUCAAUAGCAAGGAGCCUAAAGCCCAGAUAUUGGUUUCUAAAUACCACUGUCUCAUAAAAAGAGUUAGGGUUCUUUGGAGAAACAACUGAUUCCAGGGCUGAAGAAGGAAAAAUAGAAAAUGAGUCUGGAACAUCUUGCGGUGCUAGAAAGUAAUGACGUUCAAAAAACGUCAGGGCCAUGUCAAAAGAACACAAAGGCCAUCUUGAAAGAGUUCCCAGUGGCCAAAGCAGGGAUAAUUUAAGUAAUAAACCGAAUAAUGAUGGUACUGAGUUUUAACUCAGAGAAUAAAAUAAAUAUCCAUGCAUCCAUACUGAUAUAAAGAAAUGAUUUAAUAAAUAAGUAAAUAAAUGUGAGAGAAAGGACUAAUCAUCUGUACAGCAGAAUUCCAACUCAAAUUUAGAAGGAACAAUGGAAACGGAAAAUGAUCAUUAGACAAACACCGCAGUAACAGUUUUUACAGGCAAGAACUAUUCACAAAUGAUAAAAUUUGUGGGCGGAACCUUGAAUGAUGAGGAGUAGUAUAUUUCCAUAGCCUCAAAUUAACUCCCCACGAGGUACUUAUUAAUUACAAAGAAAAAAAACAGUAAGUUUGCAGUGAAGAAACCUGGCAGACACCACCUUAACCACUUGAUCAAAGCUAAUAUCAUCCAUAAGAAGACAUAAUAUCAUGUACUCUAAGGACAAAUAUAAAUUAAGAGGAUUAAUUCUCCCUAAUGAAAAUAGGAGAGUCCCCCUCACCCACCUUUGUCUCAGAGCAUUUACUUUAGAAAACUUGCAAUUGUAAGUACUUUCUCCUCUCUUUGAAAUGUCUAUAAAAUCUUUUUGAAGAUCAGAUAUCCUUUUGUCAGCUUUAUGACCUAGGAAUGUCGUUCUCGAGGACCUAGGACGGAAAAAUCAAGGGAGACAGUACCCUUAUUUCAGUACCCUUAUUUCCCAGUUUCUGUGGGAGGACUGGAGCCUAUCUUUGGUGGGCACCAUGCUCCAACUUGCAAAACUACUUCCUGUCAUAAAGCUAUGAAUAGUUUAUCUUCUGGAUAAAGCCAAUUAGCUAACACAGAUGGUCAUUCCAACUACCAUGUGAAUUUAGGGUGAAUUAUGAAAAAUGGUCCUGUCAAGUUCUCUACUUGAGGACUGAUUAUAGUUUAUCUCGGAAAAAAAUGUAUGUAGUGGGUUGCAUCUGCUUGGCUAUAUAAAAGAGUAAGAUUUCUUUCUGUCUUGGCAAUCUCUCAGUGAAUUGCCUGUGAUGUGCAUCAUAUUCUGGUUUAAUGCUUAUUCAAUAAUAAAAGUGCUUUCUUUCUCUACUUAUCUUUAGAGAGGAUUUCUAGAUUGAGAGAUUUUGUUUUAAAUUAUAUUUCCCCAACAGUAUCCUCUGACAUGAUGCACUGAGCAGGGCACUUCAUCAUUCCCCGGUGUUCUUGCCAAAAAAUAAAGAACCUCAACCCAAUCACAAGAAAACAUCAGGCAAAACCAUACUGAAGGACAUCCUACAAAAGAACAGACCUUCAAAGUUCUUGAGGUCAUAAAAAACUAGAGAACAGUAACAGGUAGAACUAGGUCAAAGGAACCUCACCUCCACAUCAAAACUGCACUAUCCAGGAGGUCAAAGCACAUGAUGUAGACAAAGAAGAAUGUUCAAGGUUCAGAGAGGUUUUUUCCUUAACUAAAAGCAUAAGAAAACCUCGGAAAGUAAUAAUGGCUCACGACUGUCAAUGGCACUGGGACCCUCCUUAUGUGAUUAGCCCACUGGGAGCUUAUCUGCAGCCUGCCCUCAGUGAAAUACAUUCACCAAGAACAGAAAAUUAAGGAGAGUGCAAGUCUGUUAAGGAAAACACUUGAAGAAAUAAAAUCUGCAUUUGGUCUAAGAACUUUAAAAAAAAAAAAAAAAAAAA
Long non-coding RNA from Pteropus alecto (black flying fox), 2182 nucleotides. RefSeq lists it as uncharacterized. The transcript has 2 exons. The record is from RefSeq and is a predicted model, not a curated record. Lineage: Eukaryota; Metazoa; Chordata; Mammalia; Chiroptera; Pteropodidae.